Molecule: ribosomal RNA, 253 nt
Filed under: uncultured bacterium
Lineage: Bacteria
Description: partial 16S ribosomal RNA
Rfam family: Bacterial small subunit ribosomal RNA
Source: RNAcentral
UACGGAGGGUGCGAGCGUUAUCCGGAUUUACUGGGUGUAAAGAGCGCGUAGGCGGAUGAGUAAGUCGGUGGUGAAAGCCCGCAGCUUAACUGUAGAAUUGCCAUUGAUACUGCUAGUCUUGAGGACAGUUGAGGUGGGUGGAAUUUGACAUGUAGAGGUGAAAUGCUUAGAUAUGUCAUAGAACACCGAUUGCGAAGGCAGCGCCCUGAGCCGUAUCUGACGCUGAGGCACGAAAGCGUGGGGAGCAAACAGG